Molecule: transfer RNA, 76 nt
Filed under: Bacillota bacterium
Lineage: Bacteria; Bacillati; Bacillota
Description: tRNA-His
Rfam family: tRNA
About the family: Transfer RNA (tRNA) molecules are approximately 80 nucleotides in length. Their secondary structure includes four short double-helical elements and three loops (D, anti-codon, and T loops).
Source: RNAcentral
GCGAAAUUGGUGAAGUGGUUAACACGGUGGAUUGUGGUUCCAUUAUGCAAGGGUUCGAUUCCCUUAUUUCGCCCCA